UGUGGGAGCGAGCCUGCUCGCGAUAGCGGUGGGUCAGUCAACAUCCAUAUCGACUGACAGUGCGCCAUCGCGAGCAGGCUCGCUCCCACA
This 90-nucleotide unclassified non-coding RNA is filed under the name Pseudomonas mediterranea. Lineage: Bacteria; Pseudomonadati; Pseudomonadota; Gammaproteobacteria; Pseudomonadales; Pseudomonadaceae. The record is from RNAcentral.